This is a long non-coding RNA of Bombus pyrosoma, 883 nucleotides long. RefSeq lists it as uncharacterized. NCBI's taxonomy places the organism in Eukaryota, Metazoa, Arthropoda, Insecta, Hymenoptera, Apidae. The transcript has 3 exons. The record is from RefSeq and is a predicted model, not a curated record.
CAAGCAUCGAUCAAAGUAAAGAUAAAAUAUCAUCGUACACACGACGAAUUGUUUAUAAUUUCUUCGUAUAACGGAUUUGAUACCACAAUUCACUGAAAUAGCCAUCGAUUAUCGAAAAGGAUUCACGGUGUAUUCUGUUGUAAUUCUCUCUUCUUAUCUCCAAUUCAAAAUUGCGCAAUCGUAGAAAUAAUACUUCGCAUCGUAAACUGCAAGCUUUCAGGCUUCUAGAAAUUAAUUACUAAACGGUUCCACGAUCGUUGAUCCACGGCCGAAGAUCGUUCGUUCAUUUAUUCCAUAAAACACGGUGAUAUCUGGAGGAUUGUAAACUGCGCGCGUGAUUUAAACAGAUUUCAGGAGAAAUUAGGUGCCGGAAACGAUUACAAACGUAUAACAUGGUUAGGUGACUCGAACAUUGGCUCGCCAACGUUAUUUCGGUGUGACGAAUGAAGUGACCGUGACAAGGCGGAACAUCCAAACGCGUGUCUCCACUGGAAUGUUGAUUGAUAGCGAUAAUACGAUUUAUCGGGCAUCUAUAGAUAAAUCUAGAUCUGUUCGAACCAGCGAAUAAAUUUUUGUUGCAUCGUUUCUCGAAAAAUAUGUUGAAGAGUAACACCGUGUCAUCGAUAUCUGCAAUUUAAUAUUACUCAUUUACAAAGCAAGAUAAUAUAACGAUAUUAAAAGAUCUAAUAUUCCCUGGUCGAAACGUGGAAAUAGAAUGCAAGAGACUAUCGACCGACUUGCGCAACGUUGUUGCACCGAUGGUUCUGACAAGGCAAAUCGUUUUUGCCCCGGGUAAUUGAAAUUUACGCGGAACUUAAUCGAAGCCGCCGAAUUAAAGGAGCGUAAGGACAAAUUACACGAGAGCGUCGACUGCAGCUUCUCG